UUCUUAAGACACAGAAAGGUCAUGAAAUUCAUUUUCCAGAUGAAGAAAAGAAAUUCAAAAAAAAUCCUGCACCCUCCAGGCCACUGAUUAAUUGAAGAGGUUUUCGGAACAGAAGAUUUGCAAUGUCCAUACCAGACAGACUAUUUAGAGCCAGUCAUAAUCAGCCUUGAACUACAACAACUGACAAAUUCUUGUCUGACCUACAAAAGAGAGUCUCAAAAGAAAAUGUCCGACCAUUCAAAAUUAAUGGCGUAUCCAAAGGGAGAUUACUCAUGCUGUCCUAGACAUUAACUGCCUGUCUAAAAACAAGUGGGCCACUUGGUGUAUGCUACAGCAGGUCACAAUGAAUACUGAUGUCACUGUUGUUUGUUAAUUCUCUUGUCUGGUUGGCACAGCCUUGAAGCCAGGUAUCAACUUAAAUCACUGCCAUCCCAUCUAAACAUGCAAAAAAUCAUGAUGCAUGAAAGGGUUUCUUUCCUUUUUUUUUUAUUUUGUUUGAAAGUGUUUUAUUUAACACAAGUACAGUGAUUGUACAUGGAUAUGCAGCGAUGUUAAUCAAACAAUGACCUGAAUUUUUAAUCUUGCUUGAAGUUGUAUUACUUAAUGGAGAUGUUUUACUGAACACAUCUGUUAUGGUUGAAUGCAUUUUGUAAUUAACUGAAAAAGUUUACUCUAGUUUUAUUGUAAAUAAGUCAUGUUUCAAUCAUCUUUUUUAUUAUUUUGCUGAUUAUCAGUUUCAGGAUGAAUUAAAAUAAAGCACUU
This is a long non-coding RNA of Saccostrea echinata, 762 nucleotides long. RefSeq lists it as uncharacterized. The record is from RefSeq and is a predicted model, not a curated record. The transcript has 4 exons. Lineage: Eukaryota; Metazoa; Mollusca; Bivalvia; Ostreida; Ostreidae.